GCCACUGCUAUCCAGGUAAAAAUUUAAUUCUUAUUCAUAUAGAUUUGUAAAAAAAAUUUAUAUGCAACCUGGGCUAUUCGAAAAGAAACAGUUUUUCUUUCCUUUAAUUGGUAUCAAAGCAAGCCUUUGAUUCAUGCAUGUAUAACUAAAUUUUUUUAGAUUAUUUAUAUAUUAUAUAUAAUUAAAAUUUUAUAUUAGAUAUGAUUUAAAUCUAUUUAAAUAAAAUUUUUG
This 231-nucleotide long non-coding RNA is filed under the name Elaeis guineensis (African oil palm). Its description in RNAcentral is "long non-coding RNA (EGUI_LNC002692)". Lineage: Eukaryota; Viridiplantae; Streptophyta; Magnoliopsida; Arecales; Arecaceae. The record is from RNAcentral.